AGUGAGUUUUUAUAAUCUACUAAUGACGUCUAACAGCAUAUGGUGGUAAUCCAGCAGAAUAGAAAAUAGAACCCCUAAGUGUAGUCACUGUAUGAUUCAGUUCUCCUAUCAUGAGUCCCGAUAAGAUAGAGGUUAUGAAAACUAUCAAACUUCAACAUCCGUCAUACAAAAGAUUAGAUUAGCUCAAGUUCACGUGUGACAUUCAUGAAAACUCUUUCCAUCAAUCACCUUUCUAUGGCCAUAAACUUAUGGACUCAGCUUCUCAAAUUUCAUAGGACUACUCCUUAUCUACUA
Molecule: long non-coding RNA, 294 nt
Filed under: Elaeis guineensis (African oil palm)
Lineage: Eukaryota; Viridiplantae; Streptophyta; Magnoliopsida; Arecales; Arecaceae
Description: long non-coding RNA (EGUI_LNC058120)
Source: RNAcentral